ACGAACGCUGGCGGCGUGCUUAACACAUGCAAGUCGAACGGAAAGGCCCUGCUUGCAGGGUGCUCGAGUGGCGAACGGGUGAGUAACACGUGGGUGAUCUGCCCCUUACUUUGGGAUAAGCCUGGGAAACUGGGUCUAAUACUGGAUAGGACCAUGCUGUAGGUGGUGUGGUGGAAAGAUUAGUUUCGGUAAGGGAUGAGCUCGCGGCCUAUCAGCUUGUUGGUGGGGUAAUGGCCUACCAAGGCGUCGACGGGUAGCCGGCCUGAGAGGGAGGACGGCCACAUUGGGACUGAGAUACGGCCCAGACUCCUACGGGAGGCAGCAGUGGGGAAUAUUGCACAAUGGGCGCAAGCCUGAUGCAGCGACGCCGCGUGGGGGAUGACGGCCUUCGGGUUGUAAACUCCUUUCAGCCAUGACGAAGCCCUUGUGGUGACGGUAGUGGUAGAAGAAGCACCGGCUAACUACGUG
RNAcentral lists this ribosomal RNA (468 nucleotides) under uncultured bacterium. RNAcentral's name for it is "partial 16S ribosomal RNA". It matches the Rfam family "Bacterial small subunit ribosomal RNA", at positions 29 to 507 of the family's 1533-position model. The record is from RNAcentral.